Molecule: long non-coding RNA, 296 nt
Organism: Lolium perenne
Lineage: Eukaryota; Viridiplantae; Streptophyta; Magnoliopsida; Poales; Poaceae
Source: RefSeq, a predicted model, not a curated record
AGCUAGAAAAGCUGGUGCCAUUCUACAUGACAAGAAGGAAACUUAAGGAUUGGAGGUGAUUUCUUUCAGCUAGAGAAGCUGUGCCAUUCUACAUGACAAGAAGGAAACUUAAGGAUUGGAGACCUACGAUCUUGUUUCAUUGUGGAGUGGUUCUUACAGGGAAUCAGAUGUUCUCGCAGACUCUGGAGAUCUUGUGUACACAACUCUCAUCCUAACCUCCUCACUCGAAGCAUGAUAGCAGUGCAGUGACACACAGAGAAUGGGUUUGCAAUUUGAAUGGGUUUGCACUGCCAUCA